UCCUCGUUUCCGUGCCGGCGCGCAUGCCCAUACGCACAAGCAUACCGAUACAUACGCCAAACGCGUACAUGCGUCUCCGGAAGCAGGGCGGCGCACGAAGGAACGCGAAGCUUGCAUAGCACAACAAAAAAACUCAGCGGUGGGGCGCUGCUUUACCUUCUUGCUUGCCCCCGACCCAAUCCCCACCCUGUAUCCAAGGCGUGACAGCCCUGACCGUCUCUCAUACACCACGAAGCAAAGACGUACGUCUCUCUCGUUCUUCUGAUCUCGCAGUGUGGUGCAGGUCGUGCACGCCCAUCAGCCUUCGCCGCUGCUUCCGCACGAGCAUCCAUCAAGAUGAAGCGUGGCCGCAGUCGCUCCUCGUCCACCGGCUCGGCGGCGGCAGAAAAGAGGUCGCACACGGUUCGUGAGGAGGUGGCGCUGUUUCUCUUUCGCCGCGACUUGCGUGUGGUGGACAACACCGGUCUGCAGGCGCUCUGCGACGAGGCCGCGCGCCGUUUUAUCCCGGUGCUGCCGGCGUUCUUCUUCAACCCGAUUCAAUGCGACAAGAAGAGGAACCCGUACUUUGGCGACGCCUUUUUCCAGUUCUUCUGCGAGUCCCUCAUAGACUUGGACGGCGCGGCGCAGCUCAACGGUGGACUGGUGUGCCUACGCGGCAGCGACGAGGAUUGCUUGCAGCGCAUCCGAGACAGCGGCUAUGAGGUGAAAGUGCUUGGGUUCAACGAGGACUACACCCCCUUUGCCCUCGCGCGCGAUCGGCUGCUGCGCGCCUACGCAGACAAGCAGGGCAUCGUGUGCGUGACAGGGCCUCACGACUACUCGCUGCGUCCUCUGGAUGAGGUGGUCAAGAACUCUGAGCAGCCGUACAGCGUCUUCACUCCGUUCUACAACAAGUUUACGGCCGAGCAUGCGCGCAGGGUGGCGGUACCGCUGCCGGUGAACGUGAGCAAGGUGCAGUCGAUGCUGGUUUCGCGGCCAAAAAAGUGCAUGGGGCAUCACUUGGUAGAUCCAGCGCUUGUGUACGCGCACAUGCCGCAGGUGCAGGACCACGGCGGUCGCACAGAGGGGCUGAAGCGAUUAGCGUGCGUGGAGAGGCUGAAGCAGUACGCAGAUGCCCGCGACGACAUCGCAGGAGACCGCACCUCGCACCUCAGCCCACACAUGAAGUGCGGCACGGUGUCGACGCGGGAGGUGUGGCACGCCAGCGUGCAGGCGCUCGGCACUGGGCACCCGUUCACUCGUCAACUUGUGUGGCGCGAGUUCUAUGCGAUGCUGGCCUUCACGCGCCCACGGCUCUUGCAAGGGCAGCUGAACUCCUUUAUUGGCCAGCAGGACAUCGUUAAGGCGACGCAGCCGAAGCAGAAUGCACCGUUCCAACCGUCGUACGACAACUUCAAGUGGAGCUGGAAGGCAGAGCACUUCGAGGCGUUCAAGGAGGGGCGCACCGGUGUACCGCUUGUCGACGCCGCCGUGCGGUGUCUGACCGCCACCGGCUGGUGCCACAACCGUUGCCGCUUAGUCAUCUCUAACUUUGCCGUCAAGGUGCUGGGAAUCGACUGGCGCGAGUGUGAGCGGUGGUUUGCGACGGUGGCUGUAGACUACGACGCCGCGAACAACAACGGUGGCUGGCUGUGGUCCUCGGGCCAGGGUGCGGACGCGCAGCCGUACUUUCGCACCUUCAACGCAUUCCGCCAGUCGGAGCGCUUCGACCCGGACUGCAAAUUCAUCUUUCAGUGGGUGCCUGAGCUGGCGAAGGUGCCGCCGAGCGUCGUGCACCACUGGGAAGGGUACUGUGCGAGGGCUAGAGGCAAGGCGACCGCUACCCACUCGAGGAAACGGAGUGGCCAAGGGAACGCAGAGGAAUAUCCCACAUCGUAUCCUGCGCCGAUUGUGGACAUCAAGGCCGCCACCAAGGCGGUCGUUGAGGAGUUCAAGAAGUACAGCAAGUACAAGGAAAACUAGCCGAUGUGCCCCCUCCCCCCACCUCUGUGUGGGACUGAUGUGAGCUCGGGCGAUGGCGGGGGAAGCGUUGGCGAGGAAGAGGCGCGGCGUGCUCCUCGCCUCCCUCCCUCUCUCCUUCGUCGUCGCCGCCAUCAAACGGCAGACCAGUUUCGCAACACAAAUUUACAUACACAUAUACAUAGAUGCACACACACACACACACAUGCACGUGCACACGCGACCAUUCAAGGAUGGCCCCGGAAACACCGGCGAGCACAUGGCGCACACCGCGUGCCUGUGGACUCUGCCCCUCUCCGUGUUGGCAACCCCCACGAGUGUGAGCCUUGCGCACGGCUUUUCCUCCUCUCUACUUUGCCGUGCCUUCCUUACUCCCUCAUGGCGACGGUGCGUGUGUGUGUGUGUGUGGGCACGCCUCUCGGUGCGUGGCAGCUCAGGGCCCAGUACACACGCCGACUCUCUCUGGGUGGAGGCGAAGCCGCCCGCCGCUCUCUAUCCCUGCCAAAUGCGGAGCCACCUCUGGUGGUGACAGGGUGAGGCGCCUACGACCUGGGGCGAGGUGAGAGCGAUGUGUCGCUGCUGGUGUCGGAUAGCAGGUCCUGGACGGCGUUGCGUCUGAGCGACCUGCGACCGUGGGCACACGUGUGCCAUCCACAUGAUGGGCAGAGUGUCCGCGUCGCUGGAACGCACCCCACCACCCGACCCUCGCACUGCCCGCUGGUGUGGGGAGCCCGAGGCCCCUCCGAGGGGGCUGCAUCACGUGGCGACCGGCAUGAUGUGGGAGCGGCUGUGAGGCGACCUGCGCGAUGCGGCGGCGGUGGUGGUCGGGGCUUGAGGCGGAGGCGGUGCUGAGAUGACUGGGCCGACGCAUUGCUGUACCGCGUGCGCGCACCGCUGCUUCGCAGGGCGGGAUGGGGCCUGCGGCAUGCCGGGGUGGGGUGGCGCUGGAGCUCGUGUUGGACGGCAGAGGGCGGGCACCCGCUGGGAAAGAAGUCUGUGCCACACGCUGUGUGCGUGUGCAUCGUUAAAAGUGUGCUGUUCCAGAGUAAAACCUGCGUUUACAGUCAUCGACGCACUUGCGUGCUCAUGCGCGCGUAUGGGCGUAGGCCCUUCUGCGUGCGGACAAACAUGAAUGCAGACUCCUGCGGCACUGCGUCGGGGGCUUGCUUGCCGUCGUCUCCCGAAUAGGACCAUCCGCUGCUGCCCUCUGCUUUCAUUGCUGAGCGUUCGUGUGUCUUCGGGUGUGUUUGUGUGGAGAUGCCAUGACUUUUUUUUAUGUGCGGCCUUCAGGCUCUCCCUCUAUUCGGGUAGACAGGUCUCCGCGUCACAGCCGACCGCUUGGGGGCAGCAUGAAAAUUGCCAUCCUUUUUCAAGCGACAGCCGCUCGAAGUAUUGCGAGCAAUCAACGCAGCGAAGAAUGUUGUGAGAAUUUGUUGUUGUGGAAAGCCUUUAUGCCCGUGUGCUGCGGCUUUGACAUC
RNAcentral lists this unclassified non-coding RNA (3437 nucleotides) under Leishmania donovani. RNAcentral describes it as "gene:LdHU3.33.0730(CDS-product:deoxyribodipyrimid ine_photo-lyase_putative)". Lineage: Eukaryota; Euglenozoa; Kinetoplastea; Trypanosomatida; Trypanosomatidae. The record is from RNAcentral.